This 336-nucleotide unclassified non-coding RNA is filed under the name uncultured fungus. RNAcentral's name for it is "partial contains 5.8S ribosomal RNA, internal transcribed spacer 2, and large subunit ribosomal RNA". The stretch from base 1 to 52 matches the Rfam family "5.8S ribosomal RNA", at positions 103 to 154 of the family's 154-position model. Lineage: Eukaryota; Fungi. The record is from RNAcentral.
AACGCACCUUGCGCUCGCUGGUAUUCCGGCGAGCAUGCCUGUUUGAGUGUCAUGAACUCUUCAACCCUCCGGUUCCUUGUGAACUGCGAGGCGUUUGGAUUUUGAGUGUCUGCUGGUCUAUUUCUCUCGGGAAAGAAGAUGUAGCUCGCUCGUAAUACAUUAGCAAAUCUCCAAUUUCGAAUUGUUCGGAUUGACUCGGCGUAAUAGACUUAUAUUCGCUGAGGACACCUUUUCAUUAAGGUGGCCGAACUUCGAGGUAGAAGCUUCUAAUACUCAAUUUGAAGUCAAAUUCUAAGAUUAGACCUCAGAUCAGGCAGGAUUACCCGCUGAACUUAA